AAAAGAGGCAACAUUUUUACUGUUCUUUGUAUUCAUGUGGGUGACUGUGAAACUACAAUGAGUAUUGAUUUAGGUGUUACAAAUAAAUUUCAGGAAUCAGGCAGAUUUGUAAAUAUGGAAUCUGUGAAUAAUGAAGAUUGACUAUAUUUUGGUACUAACGAAGGAACUUUUAACAGUGGGAAGCCCAUUUAAGUUGGCUUCAAAGCCCUUUUGACAUGCUCUCAUUGUUCUUUGAGCACUGCUUUGCUUUCUGGCACAAAAAGAUAUAACAGGCCUAUAUUAUCUUCUACAGCUCUGAAAUCUGCCAUUUAUCCAUGGAUAAUUAUUUCUUUUAGUGGAAUAUGGUAUUAGGAAAUCAAGACCUAGGAGUCAGUUGUGUUCAUUGCUAGUGCUUCCUGCUAUUCCCAGCCCUUCUCAUAUAGGACAGUUCUAGUGGAGAUAGAUAGAUAGGUAGGUAAUGUUUAAAUACAGUGUAGGUAGUAGAGUUGUACCCAAGGAGAUCAAGUCUAAGAUCAUGGAAGUUAUAUAUGGCGGUGAUGGGAGUUAGGGUGGAGGGAAAGUAUAAGGGCCAGAUGCUACGUUCUUAAUAAAUAUGAGGAACUAAUAAGAAACCUAACAUAUAAUAGCACUGAAGAAUGAGAAGUUCUUAAAGACAUUUCAUGAACCCCAAACAAUGAGGGUAGUUUGGCUUGAAUUUGGUUUAGUUUAAGAAUCAGAGAGUUGAGUACAAGAUUUUGAUUAUUACUGUGAGGUAAUAAUUUUUAAGUAAAAUUUUAGAGGUAAGCAUUCUAGGGAAAAUAGGGUGAUCCAUUAUGUCAGACUUCAUAAAUCUUACUGCUUGAUCUUCCACACACAUCCUCCACUCGCAAGUUCACUUCAUGGUCUCAGAUUCUGAUCCAUCUCCACUUUCCAGGUAACAAGAAAGAAGAGAGUGAAGGGAGCAUACUACUCCAAUUAAGAAAACUUUCUUUGUGUGACCCUGACAUGAGCCAUGGCACAGGGCUGAAGCCAAUGAGCUGCUGCUGAAAAUGGCGGAAAGGGAAAAGAAAGAUGAAAAAGUAAGUGGGGCUUUGGUAUGAGAGAUUCUAUUGCCUUGAUGUGCCCAAGGCAGCAGAGUUGAGGGAGAGGAGCUGUUUUUAUUAUUUGGAGGAUUCCUUUCAUUUGGCUUUCUGAGAGGAUUCUAUAUGAUCCUGGUUGAAUCCUACCUACCACUUCAAAUACUGCCUUCUUUUCCAUUUUGCUGUUACACGGAGUGAACUUGUUCAGAUAAUCUUUUCAAGUGGAUUCCUU
Molecule: long non-coding RNA, 1290 nt
Filed under: Vulpes vulpes (red fox)
Lineage: Eukaryota; Metazoa; Chordata; Mammalia; Carnivora; Canidae
Description: lncRNA (ENSVVUG00000008073.1)
Source: RNAcentral